CUGUCGGAUGCCGUCGCGGUUGACGGUGAACCCAGAUUUCUGUAUCUUUCAUCAGAUUGUGCCAGGGGCACGUGAGUUUUGGUUGUUAGACCAGUUUGAUCCAUUUGCAUUGACUAUCGCCUGUGAGAGCCUAUUUGCGCUCGGUAGAGACACGCUUGCAUACUCGAUUGGGUCGCGCCUACGAGUGCCGCUCCGGAGUGAGGCUUUAAUUUGUGUUGAUGUCGCAGCCGUUCUGUUUGGACUGUUUUCUUGGACCGGCCAUCCCCGUGGGUGAUGUACGGUAUAGCUUGGUUACAGAUAGGGUGGGUUCGUUUUGGCAACCCGUAUGAGAUUGGGUCAGUGGUAGUUAGUGAUGCAUAUUUAUGUCUACAGUUAGUUGGUUUUGGUAGUGAUAGUAUAGAGACAUGUAGCUGUAGAGUUUUUUUUUUCAGCUUUCUUUACUAUCCCGUGUAUAUCAUUACUGACUACUCUGUUUUGCAGUAGUUCUCACACCCAGUUGUUGACACCUUUUAUAAUUACUAAUUUAUAAUUUAUAAUUAUUAAUAAUUUUAAUUUAAAAUUAUUACUCUUAUUCACUUUGUUCCAAUCUAACCAUCCAAAUAUUAUUUACCUUAUUUCUAAGAACAAUCCAAUUUUCAUCCAAACGUAAAAUUAGUCUAAUUCCUGUUUAUAUCUGAACUUAUAUUUACCCCUAAAAUAAGCAGCUCUUAUUUAUACACGAACGAAACGCAACCUAAUAGAUUGAAUUGCUAUAAUCUUCUAUACCUAUACCUAUACAUGAAUUCUGGCUAAAAAUCCACAUGGAUAUACCAUUUUUAUUUGAGGGCUGUGGGACCCACUAUUAUUUUUAAAUUAUUUUCUAUUCUCUUGUGUUAGUAAAACUAUUUUCUUUCUCACAAUCACUUUUUUCAAUCCUCUUUCUUUCUUUCUCUCUCUCUCUCUCUCUUCUCAUCUCUUAUUUUUUUUUCUCUCAAACCAACAAAGUUGUCUCUUUCUCUCUUCCCUUACCUCACUUACCACGCGAUUUUGGAUCUCUCAACGUAUGAUUUUUAAUUUUUCUUUUUUCUCUUUCCUUUUUUUGUUGCUCACCGCUAGCGCUGGCAAAUGAGCGAGCCGGCUCGCGUUCGACUCGAUAUUUGGCUUGCUCGAGCUCGACUCGAAAUUAAAUGAGCUGAGCUUGAACAAAAAAAAGGUUCGAAAUUCAUUUCAAGCCGAGCUUGAGUUUUACUCGGCUCGUUCGAAUUAGGCUCGAAAAGCUCGAAAAGCUCGAAUAUAUAUAUAUAGUAGAGCUACUACGCUAUAUCGAAAGUAUAGAGAUAUGGUGUUUUCGAUUUUUUGAUUCUUAGAUCAAUCCCUUUAAUCGUUUCUUAUCUUUGGAUUAAUAUUAUUAUUACCUUGUAGGGACCACUCAAUCCUAAGAGUAUUAUUUAAUCCUAAGGGAGACCGCAAUCAUCCUGACCAUACAAUUUUUAAUCAAAGGGUGAAAAAUUCAAAAACAUCAAAUCCUCUAUAUUUUCGAUAGUAUAGUAGUUCUACACUCUAUAUAUAUAUAUUAAAAAAUAUAUAAUUAUAAUAUAUUUUAAUUAUAUAUAGGCUGAGUGAAUAAUCUGAGUUUAGUUAAAAUUGGGCUAAUGUUGUUGGCCCAUAAAAACAAACUUAAUAGACAAAUAAAAGAGCAAAAUUUUACUAAAUAUUUUUUCUUUCUUUCUUUCUUUCUUUCACAUAGCUCUAAAUUUUCAAUAUGUUUCUCUCUUUCUCUUUUUCUGUCUCUCACCCUAAGUGGCCAAGCCGGAAGCCCUUCAAGUUACCAAGUAACAGCAUAUGCUCGUCGUUGCCUAUCUUGCUAUUAAUUGUAUACUUGAGAAAAUAUAUAGAAUAUUUUUAAAGUAAAAAAUUAUUAUUCAUAUAAAAUUUUAAUUUUAGUUAUAUAUGAUUGGAUAGUUUAAUCCAAUAUUUAUCUAUAUAAUUUAUUUAUUUUUGACUGCAUAAAUGAAAAUGAAUAAUAUGGAGAUUGAAGGCGGAAGAAAAGACAUGUGAGGCUAAAAAGAUUAGAUAUUCAACUCAUAAAUUAUUUUUUUUCAUAUUAUAAUACUAUAUUUUAUAUAAUUAUUUUGUACUUUGAACUAUUAGACAUAUUUUUGUAUCAAAUUAUAGAUAAUGUUCUAUACAAAUUAAACUAUUGAUCGUAUAAUGUUGAGAAUUUCAAGCGGCUCGUUUAGGGCUCGAGCUCGCUCGACUUGAAAUUAGGCUCGCUCGAGCUCGGCUCGAAUUAAUUUCAAUCCAAGCUUGAGCUUAAAUUUAGGCUCGAAAUUAAUUUCAAG
Molecule: long non-coding RNA, 2321 nt
Filed under: Ananas comosus (pineapple)
Lineage: Eukaryota; Viridiplantae; Streptophyta; Magnoliopsida; Poales; Bromeliaceae
Description: long non-coding RNA (ACOM_LNC022046)
Source: RNAcentral